CCUACGGGCGGCAGCAGUGGGGAAUAUUGGACAAUGGGCGAAAGCCUGAUCCAGCCAUGCCGCGUGUGUGAAGAAGGCCUUCGGGUUGUAAAGCACUUUCAGUGGGGAAGAAAGCCUUGGGGCUAAUACCCUCGAGGAAGGACAUCACCCACAGAAGAAGCACCGGCUAACUCCGUGCCAGCAGCCGCGGUAAUACGGAGGGUGCGAGCGUUAAUCGGAAUUACUGGGCGUAAAGCGCGCGUAGGCGGUCUGAUAAGCCGGUUGUGAAAGCCCCGGGCUCAACCUGGGAACGGCAUCCGGAACUGUCAGGCUAGAGUGCAGGAGAGGAAGGUAGAAUUCCCGGUGUAGCGGUGAAAUGCGUAGAGUUCGGGAGGAAUACCAGUGGCGAAGGCGGCCUUCUGGACUGACACUGACGCUGAGGUGCGAAAGCGUGGGUAGCAAACAGGAUUAGAUACCCCUGUAGUC
This 465-nucleotide ribosomal RNA is filed under the name Vreelandella stevensii. Its description in RNAcentral is "partial 16S ribosomal RNA". It matches the Rfam family "Bacterial small subunit ribosomal RNA", at positions 338 to 795 of the family's 1533-position model. Lineage: Bacteria; Pseudomonadati; Pseudomonadota; Gammaproteobacteria; Oceanospirillales; Halomonadaceae. The record is from RNAcentral.